Long non-coding RNA from Peromyscus californicus insignis, 1096 nucleotides. RefSeq lists it as uncharacterized. The transcript has 4 exons. Lineage: Eukaryota; Metazoa; Chordata; Mammalia; Rodentia; Cricetidae. The record is from RefSeq and is a predicted model, not a curated record.
CAGGAUUUCAAGUCUAGUGUUUGUGAGUUUAGGAAAUGUUUAUGGUCUGUAUCUGCAAGGUGGGAAAGCUCCCUCAUCAUCCUCCUAUGAGUGAAAUUUGGUUGCUGUGUAGUGAGAUUUAACCUCCCGUAGCUUUACAUCUUUACUGAAGUCUUUUGAUCAAAGUCAAAAUAAAACAAGAUAAAACCAGAGUUGGGUGGGGGAAGCUGCUUUAUUUUUAUUGUUUUAGGGGAAAAUAUACCCCAAAUACAUUAACUCCAUUCCAGUGCCAUAAUGUCCACCUUCCAGGAAGGAUAAGCAGAUUCCUGGAGUCUGACUAUUGUCUACAGGUGCUGAAGUCCAUUGCCACCAUGAUGAAUGCAUGAGUUGGGACAGAACAGAGCGCUUUAAAGAUCAAGAUGUAGCUCUCAGCUACUUCUCCAGAACAUUGCCUAUCUGUGCCAUGCUCUCUGCCAUGAUAAUGGACUGAGUCUCUGAAACUGUGUUUUGCCUGAAUGCAUGUCUGUGCACCACAUGUGUUCAGUGUCCAUGGAAACCAGAAGGGGAUAUCGACUCUCUUGAAACUGGAGUAAUAGACAGUUGUGAGCCACCAUGUGAGAACUGGAUUUAAACCAGAGUGGUCCUCUGAAAGAGCAGUCAGUUCUCUUCGUCUCUGAGCCAUCACUUGAUCCCUAAAUCUUUUCUUAAGGCAUUUCCACCUAAAUUUCGGUGACUCAGACUUCUUGAAAUGGAGGCAAGACACUUAAGUUUUGUUUGAUCCAGAGAAUUUAUUCUUCAGGAACACAAGCCCGACACCUUCUGGAAGGCAGAAGACUAUUACAUUCCCUCAAAGUCCCUUUGUUCAGUACUGAGGAAGCAAGAUGCCUGUUAGAAACAGUAUGGCAUGUUCUGGGAACCUCAUUCUAGAAGAUUCCUGGCCUGAGUGAUAUUCAUGAAUAAAUGAAAUAGUGUGGAAAAUUUUUUUAUAACUCUACUCCUAUAGGAUGUUAUAUCCAGUAUUUUAUUUUAUUAUAAAAAUAUAAUCAACUAGUCAUUGCAGAACUGGUGAUGUCAACAGUAAGAGUUAGGGAUAUUAAAUCAUAUUAUAGUUAUCAAA